Molecule: ribosomal RNA, 494 nt
Filed under: uncultured bacterium
Lineage: Bacteria
Description: partial 16S ribosomal RNA
Rfam family: Bacterial small subunit ribosomal RNA
Source: RNAcentral
GACGAACGCUGGCGGCGUGCUUAACACAUGCAGGUCGAACGGAAAGGCCUGUCCUUCCUUGUGUUGGACGGGUACUCGAGUGGCGAACGGGUGAGUAACACGUGAGUGAUCUGCCCCCAACUUGGGUAUAAGCCUGGGAAACUGGGUCUAAUUCCCGAUAGGACUGCAGGGUGGUGCCUGUGGUGGAAAACGAUUUUCUAGUGGUUGGGGAUGAGCUCGCGGCCUAUCAGCUUGUUGGUGGGGUAAUGGCCUACCAAGGCGGCGACGGGUAGCCGGCCUGAGAGGGUGGACGGCCACAUUGGGACUGAGAUACGGCCCAGACUCCUACGGGAGGCAGCAGUGGGGAAUAUUGCACAAUGGGCGGAAGCCUGAUGCAGCGACGCCGCGUGGGGGAUGACGGCCUUCGGGUUGUAAACUCCUUUCGACCGCGAGGAAGCCGCCUGGUUGGAAGGGUGGUGACGGUAGUGGUAGAAGAAGCACCGGCUAACUACGUG